AGCGUACACGGUGGAUGCCCUGGCAGUCAGAGGCGAUGAAGGACGUGCUAAUCUGCGAUAAGCGUCGGUAAGGUGAUAUGAACCGUUAUAACCGGCGAUUUCCGAAUGGGGAAACCCAGUGUGUUUCGACACACUAUCAUUAACUGAAUCCAUAGGUUAAUGAGGCGAACCGGGGGAACUGAAACAUCUAAGUACCCCGAGGAAAAGAAAUCAACCGAGAUUCCCCCAGUAGCGGCGAGCGAACGGGGAGGAGCCCAGAGCCUGAAUCAGUGUGUGUGUUAGUGGAAGCGUCUGGAAAGGCGCGCGAUACAGGGUGACAGCCCCGUACACAAAAAUGCACAUGCUGUGAGCUCGAUGAGUAGGGCGGGACACGUGGUAUCCUGUCUGAAUAUGGGGGGACCAUCCUCCAAGGCUAAAUACUCCUGACUGACCGAUAGUGAACCAGUACCGUGAGGGAAAGGCGAAAAGAACCCCGGCGAGGGGAGUGAAAAAGAACCUGAAACCGUGUACGUACAAGCAGUGGGAGCCUCUUUUAUGGGGUGACUGCGUACCUUUUGUAUAAUGGGUCAGCGACUUAUAUUCUGUAGCAAGGUUAACCGAAUAGGGGAGCCGAAGGGAAACCGAGUCUUAACUGGGCGUUAAGUUGCAGGGUAUAGACCCGAAACCCGGUGAUCUAGCCAUGGGCAGGUUGAAGGUUGGGUAACACUAACUGGAGGACCGAACCGACUAAUGUUGAAAAAUUAGCGGAUGACUUGUGGCUGGGGGUGAAAGGCCAAUCAAACCGGGAGAUAGCUGGUUCUCCCCGAAAGCUAUUUAGGUAGCGCCUCGUGAAUUCAUCUCCGGGGGUAGAGCACUGUUUCGGCAAGGGGGUCAUCCCGACUUACCAACCCGAUGCAAACUGCGAAUACCGGAGAAUGUUAUCACGGGAGACACACGGCGGGUGCUAACGUCCGUCGUGAAGAGGGAAACAACCCAGACCGCCAGCUAAGGUCCCAAAGUCAUGGUUAAGUGGGAAACGAUGUGGGAAGGCCCAGACAGCCAGGAUGUUGGCUUAGAAGCAGCCAUCAUUUAAAGAAAGCGUAAUAGCUCACUGGUCGAGUCGGCCUGCGCGGAAGAUGUAACGGGGCUAAACCAUGCACCGAAGCUGCGGCAGCGACGCUUAUGCGUUGUUGGGUAGGGGAGCGUUCUGUAAGCCUGUGAAGGUGUGCUGUGAGGCAUGCUGGAGGUAUCAGAAGUGCGAAUGCUGACAUAAGUAACGAUAAAGCGGGUGAAAAGCCCGCUCGCCGGAAGACCAAGGGUUCCUGUCCAACGUUAAUCGGGGCAGGGUGAGUCGACCCCUAAGGCGAGGCCGAAAGGCGUAGUCGAUGGGAAACAGGUUAAUAUUCCUGUACUUGGUGUUACUGCGAAGGGGGGACGGAGAAGGCUAUGUUGGCCGGGCGACGGUUGUCCCGGUUUAAGCGUGUAGGCUGGUUUUCCAGGCAAAUCCGGAAAAUCAAGGCUGAGGCGUGAUGACGAGGCACUACGGUGCUGAAGCAACAAAUGCCCUGCUUCCAGGAAAAGCCUCUAAGCAUCAGGUAACAUCAAAUCGUACCCCAAACCGACACAGGUGGUCAGGUAGAGAAUACCAAGGCGCUUGAGAGAACUCGGGUGAAGGAACUAGGCAAAAUGGUGCCGUAACUUCGGGAGAAGGCACGCUGAUAUGUAGGUGAAGCGACUUGCUCGUGGAGCUGAAAUCAGUCGAAGAUACCAGCUGGCUGCAACUGUUUAUUAAAAACACAGCACUGUGCAAACACGAAAGUGGACGUAUACGGUGUGACGCCUGCCCGGUGCCGGAAGGUUAAUUGAUGGGGUCAGCGCAAGCGAAGCUCUUGAUCGAAGCCCCGGUAAACGGCGGCCGUAACUAUAACGGUCCUAAGGUAGCGAAAUUCCUUGUCGGGUAAGUUCCGACCUGCACGAAUGGCGUAAUGAUGGCCAGGCUGUCUCCACCCGAGACUCAGUGAAAUUGAACUCGCUGUGAAGAUGCAGUGUACCCGCGGCAAGACGGAAAGACCCCGUGAACCUUUACUAUAGCUUGACACUGAACAUUGAGCCUUGAUGUGUAGGAUAGGUGGGAGGCUUAGAAGUGUGGACGCCAGUCUGCAUGGAGCCGACCUUGAAAUACCACCCUUUAAUGUUUGAUGUUCUAACGUUGACCCGUAAUCCGGGUUGCGGACAGUGUCUGGUGGGUAGUUUGACUGGGGCGGUCUCCUCCUAAAGAGUAACGGAGGAGCACGAAGGUUGGCUAAUCCUGGUCGGACAUCAGGAGGUUAGUGCAAUGGCAUAAGCCAGCUUGACUGCGAGCGUGACGGCGCGAGCAGGUGCGAAAGCAGGUCAUAGUGAUCCGGUGGUUCUGAAUGGAAGGGCCAUCGCUCAACGGAUAAAAGGUACUCCGGGGAUAACAGGCUGAUACCGCCCAAGAGUUCAUAUCGACGGCGGUGUUUGGCACCUCGAUGUCGGCUCAUCACAUCCUGGGGCUGAAGUAGGUCCCAAGGGUAUGGCUGUUCGCCAUUUAAAGUGGUACGCGAGCUGGGUUUAGAACGUCGUGAGACAGUUCGGUCCCUAUCUGCCGUGGGCGCUGGAGAACUGAGGGGGGCUGCUCCUAGUACGAGAGGACCGGAGUGGACGCAUCACUGGUGUUCGGGUUGUCAUGCCAAUGGCACUGCCCGGUAGCUAAAUGCGGAAGAGAUAAGUGCUGAAAGCAUCUAAGCACGAAACUUGCCCCGAGAUGAGUUCUCCCUGACUCCUUGA
RNAcentral lists this ribosomal RNA (2787 nucleotides) under metagenome. RNAcentral's name for it is "bacterial LSU rRNA". It matches the Rfam family "Bacterial large subunit ribosomal RNA". The record is from RNAcentral.